UACAGAGGUCUCAAGCGUUGUUCGGAUUCAUUGGGCGUAAAGGGUGCGUAGGUGGCGCCGUAAGUCGGGUGUGAAAUUUCGGAGCUUAACUCCGAAACUGCGUCCGAUACUGGCAGGCUUGAAUCCGGGAGAGGGAUGCGGAAUUCCAGGUGUAGCGGUGAAAUGCGUAGAUAUCUGGAGGAACACCAAUUGCGAAGGCAGCUCGCUGGGACGUUACUGACGCUGAGACGCGAAAGCGUGGGGAGCAAACAGG
RNAcentral lists this ribosomal RNA (253 nucleotides) under uncultured bacterium. RNAcentral's name for it is "partial 16S ribosomal RNA". It matches the Rfam family "Bacterial small subunit ribosomal RNA", at positions 524 to 776 of the family's 1533-position model. The record is from RNAcentral.